RNAcentral lists this unclassified non-coding RNA (16 nucleotides) under synthetic construct. Its description in RNAcentral is "RNA (5'-R(P*UP*GP*GP*CP*CP*GP*UP*UP*UP*UP*CP*GP*UP*UP*GP*U)-3') from synthetic construct (PDB 7WBV, chain P)". The record is from RNAcentral.
UGGCCGUUUUCGUUGU